UCUCCCUUGGGCCUUUACGUCUCUUUCCUUUUGAGUGAACCGUCCAUCGUGUGCAAUGCGUACGUGUGUGCAGAUGGAAACGAUGAAGAGUCGGGAAAGUUAACGAACUUGCAGACAAUGCUCCCACUGAGAAGCCAUGGACGGGGACAGGAAUCUGACUUAGUUUGUCUCCCCAAAUCUGACUUGAAGGUCCACACGCUUUUCUCCUUGCAGUGAGGGCUUAAGAGGUUUUCAUUAUGGCAAAUGAUAACAGGAGUAAGAAGACUGGUCUCACAGAUUAUUAAACGGAUUCAAAGGCAGGGGCUGAGUGGCUCGGUCAGUUAAGCAUCUAACUUUGGCUCAGGUCAUGAUCUCACGGUUCAUGGGACUGAGCUCCGCAGCCGCUCUUGGCUGAUAGCUCAGAGCCUGCUUUGGAUUAUCUCUCUCUCUGUCUCUCUGUCUCUCUCUCUCUCCGCCCCUCCCC
Panthera uncia (snow leopard) is the source of this 463-nucleotide long non-coding RNA. RefSeq lists it as uncharacterized. The record is from RefSeq and is a predicted model, not a curated record. The transcript is spliced from 2 exons. NCBI's taxonomy places the organism in Eukaryota, Metazoa, Chordata, Mammalia, Carnivora, Felidae.